GGUGAACGCUGGCGGUAGGCCUAACACAUGCAAGUCGAACGGCAGCACAGUAAGAUCUUGCUCUUACUGGUGGCGAGUGGCGGACGGGUGAGGAAUACAUCGGAAUCUACUUUUUCGUGGGGGAUAACGUAGGGAAACUUACGCUAAUACCUCAUACUACCUACGGGUUAAAGCAGGGGAUCUUCGGACCUUUCGCGAUUGAAUGAGCCGAUGUCGGAUUAGCUAGUUGGCGGGGUAAAGACCCACCAAGGCGACGAUCCGUAGCUGGUCUGAGAGGAUGAUCAGACAAACUGGAAAUGAGACAAGGUCCAGACUCCUAAGGGAGGCAGCAGGGGGGAAUAUUGGACAAUGGGCGCAAGCCUGAACCAGCCAUACCGCGUGGGUGAAGAAGGGCUUCGGGUUGUAAAGACCUUUUGUUGGGAAAGAAAAGCAGCAGGUUAAUACCCCGCUGUUCUGACGGUACCCAAAGAAUAAGCACCGGCUAACUUCGUG
RNAcentral lists this ribosomal RNA (492 nucleotides) under uncultured bacterium. Its description in RNAcentral is "partial 16S ribosomal RNA". It matches the Rfam family "Bacterial small subunit ribosomal RNA", at positions 28 to 507 of the family's 1533-position model. The record is from RNAcentral.